This 446-nucleotide ribosomal RNA is filed under the name Porphyra purpurea. RNAcentral's name for it is "SSU rRNA". It matches the Rfam family "Eukaryotic small subunit ribosomal RNA", at positions 1334 to 1781 of the family's 1831-position model. Lineage: Eukaryota; Rhodophyta; Bangiophyceae; Bangiales; Bangiaceae. The record is from RNAcentral.
AACGAGACCUUACCCUGCUAAAUAGGUGCGCGUAUGCUCGUACUGCGUUGCACUCUUCUUAGAGGGACUAUAUGCGUCUAGUAUAUGGAAGUUUGAGGCAAUAACAGGUCUGUGAUGCCCUUAGAUGUUCUGGGCUGCACGCGCGCUACACUGAUGCAUUCAACGAGUCACACUUUUACGUCCUUGGUUUUAUGACCUGGGUAAUCUUGGGAACGUGCAUCGUGCUGGGGAUAGAUCAUUGCAAUUUUUGGUCUUCAACGAGGAAUUCCUUGUAGGCGCAGGUCAUCAGCCUGCGCCGAAUACGUCCCUGCCCUUUGUACACACCGCCCGUCGCUCCUACCGAUUGAAUGGUCCGAUGAAGUGCUUAGAUCUUGGGGAGCGGCCUGGAGGUCAAAGUCCAGUACGUGAACCUUGAAAAGAUCAUUGAAUCUUACCCUUUAGAGGAA